RNAcentral lists this ribosomal RNA (495 nucleotides) under uncultured bacterium. Its description in RNAcentral is "partial 16S ribosomal RNA". It matches the Rfam family "Bacterial small subunit ribosomal RNA", at positions 28 to 507 of the family's 1533-position model. The record is from RNAcentral.
GAUGAACGCUGGCGGCGUGCCUAAUACAUGCAAGUAGAACGCUGAAGGAGGAGCUUGCUCUUCUGGAUGAGUUGCGAACGGGUGAGUAACGCGUAGGUAACCUGCCUGGUAGCGGGGGAUAACUAUUGGAAACGAUAGCUAAUACCGCAUGACAACAGUUAUUGCAUGAUAACUGUUUAAAAGGGGCAACUGCUCCACUACCAGAUGGACCUGCGUUGUAUUAGCUAGUUGGUGAGGUAACGGCUCACCAAGGCGACGAUACAUAGCCGACCUGAGAGGGUGAUCGGCCACACUGGGACUGAGACACGGCCCAGACUCCUACGGGAGGCAGCAGUAGGGAAUCUUCGGCAAUGGACGGAAGUCUGGCCGAGCAACGCCGCGUGAGUGAAGAAGGUUUUCGGAUCGUAAAGCUCUGUUGUAAGAGAAGAACGAGUGUGAGAGUGGAAAGUUCACACUGUGACGGUAGCUUACCAGAAAGGGACGGCUAACUACGUG